RNAcentral lists this long non-coding RNA (2007 nucleotides) under Pongo abelii (Sumatran orangutan). RNAcentral describes it as "lncRNA (ENSPPYG00000039330.1)". Lineage: Eukaryota; Metazoa; Chordata; Mammalia; Primates; Hominidae. The record is from RNAcentral.
UUAGAUCUUAGUCUCUUUGGUAGGAGUUUUGUUCCAGAGGAGCUUUCCCCCUUGGAUUUGAACUUGCUCUUUUUGUUGUUGUUGUUCUUUCUCUUCUUUUUCUUACCUCCCACUAAAGGGGUUCCAAAUUAUCCUGGUCUUUUUCUACCUUGUUGUGUUUCUAUCUCGUCUUUACUUCCAUCUGUUUGUUUUUUUCUCCAUCAGUGGGGGCCGAGUUGUUCCCCCAGCCUGCCAAAUUUUGAUCCUUCCCCUCUUUUGGCCAAAUCCUAGGGGGAAGAAAUCCUAGUAUGCCAAAAAUAUAUGCUAAGCAUAAUUAAACUCCAUGCGGGUCCAUAACAGCCAAGAAGCCUGCAGGAGAAAGCCAAGGGCAGUUCCCUCCGCAGAACACCCCAUGCGUGCUGAGAGGCGAGCUCCUUGAAGAAGGGGCUGUUCUUCCAGGAGGCCUUAUUUUGAACUGCCUCAGGACCCCACUGGAGAGCACAGCAUGCCUUACUACUGGGUCAUCCUUGGUCUAUGUGCUCUGUACUGGAGGCUCUGUUCUGCCUCUUAUCAGUCAGGUCAGGGGCACACAUGGCUUAAGUGACAAAGCCAGAGGAGAAGACAACCCUGACAGCAUCACACUGCAUCCCAUUGCUAGCAGGAUUGGCAACUCUUCAGACGGAGCUGCGCUUUCCUGCAGUCUAGCACCUCUAGGGUCUCUCCAGACUGUGCCCUGGGAGCUCUGGGACUGAAAGGUUAAGAAUAUUAGGCAGGAUCAGAUGACUCCUCUCAAAGAGGGCAGGGGAAUUUUCUCUCCAUGGGCCACAGGGGACAGGGCUGGGAGAAGAAAUAGACUUGCACCUUAUGUCAUGUAAAUAAUUGAUUUUCUAGUUCAAGAAGAUAAUAUUGGUAGUGUGGGAAUUGGAGGUAGGAAGGGGAGGAAGUCUGAGUAAGCCAGUUGGCUUCUAAGCCAAAAGGAUUCCUCUUUGUUUAUCUCUGAGACAGUCCAACCUUGAGAAUAGCUUUAAAAGGGAAAUUAAUGCUGAGAUGAUAAAGUCCCCUUAAGCCAACAAACCCUCUGUAGCUAUAGAAUGAGUGCAGGUUUCUAUUGGUGUGGACUCAGAGCAAUUUACAAGAGCUGUUCAUGCAGCCAUCCAUUUGUGCAAAAUAGGGUAAGAAGAUUCAAGAGGAUAUUUAUUACUGCCUCAUACCACAUGGCUUUUGAUGAUUCUGGAUUCUAAACAACCCAGAAUGGUCAUUUCAGGCACAACGAUAACUACCUUCGUGUGUGUCUGCUUUUAAACUUGGCUGGGCUAUCAGACCCUAUUCUCGGCUCAGGUUUUAAGAAGCCAUCAGCAAAUAUGUACGUGCAUGCUGUAGCUGCAGCCUGCAUCCCUUCGCCUGCAGCCUACUUUGGGGAAAUAAAGUGCCUUACUGACUGUAGCCAUUACAGUAUCCAAUGUCUUUUGACAGGUGCCUGUCCUUGAAAAACAAAGUUUCUAUUUCUAUUUUUAAUUGGUUUAGUUCUUACUGCUGGCCAACUCUUAUAUCCCCAGCAAAUCAUCGGGCCAUUGGAUUUUUUCCAUUAUGUUCAUUACCCUUAUAUCAUGUACCUCAGAUCUCUCUCUCUCUCCUCUCUCUCAGUUAUAUAGUUUCUUGUCUUGGACUUUUUUUUUCUUUUCUUUUUCUUUUUUUUUUGCUUUAAAACAAGUGUGAUGCCAUAUCAAGUCCAUGUUAUUCUCUCACAGUGUACUCUAUAAGAGGUGUGGGUGUCUGUUUGGUCAGGAUGUUAGAAAGUGCUGAUAAGUAGCAUGAUCAGUGUAUGCGAAAAGGUUUUUAGGAAGUACGGCAAAAAUGUUGUAUUGGCUAUGAUGGUGACAUGAUAUAGUCAGCUGCCUUUUAAGAGGUCUUAUCUGUUCAGUGUUAAGUGAUUUAAAAAAAUAAUAACCUGUUUUCUGACUAGUUUAAAGAUGGAUUUGAAAAUGGUUUUGAAUGCAAUUAGGUUAUGCUAUUUGGACAAUAAACUCA